UUUCAGCAGGUUCGCUAGGAGCAAUCACUUCAGAGCUAGCAGACUGCUCUGUGUUCUCUUCUGCGACUAGAAUAGUCUCAGCAAACGACUGCUCUACUGCAUUACAGUGCUCAGUCCUUGGAUUUUUAUCAGUUCUUCCAGGGAGCGUCUCUUGUUGCCUCUUGACACUCUCAGCUGUUUGAGCAAGCUGAACAUCGAUCUUUCUUAUAUGGAUCGCAAGAUUGUCAUACUUGUUAUUCAGCUCAGUGAACAUGUUGCCCAUCCUGGUGUCUAU
This 274-nucleotide long non-coding RNA is filed under the name Brassica rapa (field mustard). RNAcentral describes it as "long non-coding RNA (BRAP_LNC000224)". The record is from RNAcentral. Lineage: Eukaryota; Viridiplantae; Streptophyta; Magnoliopsida; Brassicales; Brassicaceae.